Molecule: ribosomal RNA, 511 nt
Filed under: uncultured bacterium
Lineage: Bacteria
Description: bacterial SSU rRNA
Rfam family: Bacterial small subunit ribosomal RNA
Source: RNAcentral
CCGCACAAGCGUGAGCAUGUGUUUAAUUCGAUGCAACGCGAAGAACCUUACAUCCCUUGACAUCAUCAGAAUUUGUUAGAAAUAACUUAGUGGCUUCGGGAACUGGUUGACAGGUGGCUGCAUGGCUGUCGUCAGCUCGUGUCGUGAGAUGUUGGGUUAAGUCCCGCAACGAGCGCAACCCUUAUCUUUAGUUACAGCACAUUAUGGUGGGGACUCUAAAGAGACUGCCGGUGACAAGCCGGAGGAAGGUGGGGACGACGUCAAAGUCAUCAUGGCCUUACGGGAUGGGCUACACACGUGCUACAAUGGGCAGUACAGAUGGUCGCGAAACCGCGAGGUGGAGCUAAUCUAAGAAAGCUGUUCGUAGUCCGGAUUGGAGUCUGCAACUCGACUCCAUGAAGUUGGAAUCGCUAGUAAUCGCAGAUCAGAAUGCUGCGGUGAAUACGUUCCCGGGCCUUGUACACACCGCCCGUCACACCAUGGGAGUGGGUUGCAAAAGAAGUGGGUAGAC